This 73-nucleotide transfer RNA is filed under the name Apaloderma vittatum (bar-tailed trogon). It matches the Rfam family "tRNA". Rfam says of the family: Transfer RNA (tRNA) molecules are approximately 80 nucleotides in length. Their secondary structure includes four short double-helical elements and three loops (D, anti-codon, and T loops). Lineage: Eukaryota; Metazoa; Chordata; Aves; Trogoniformes; Trogonidae. The record is from Rfam by way of RNAcentral.
GGCUGGUUAGCUCAGCUGGUUGAGCAUGGUGCUGAUAACACCAAGGUCGCGGGUUCGAUCCCCGCUCGACCCC